CCAGCAUGGCCCCAAAUGACCCCAAAUCCCCCCCAAAAUGGCCGCCACGCCCCCUUUGUCUCCUUCCUUUCCCCUUCCAGGACCUCAUUUCUCCCUUUUCCCCUUCCAGGACCCAGCACCGUACCUCAGAUCUUCCCCUUCCCCCCUCACCCGGAAGAGCUCUCCCAGUCUCGCGUCACUCUGGGUUGCCUGGUCCGCGGUUUCCGCCCGCGUGACAUCGAGAUCCGGUGGCUCCGCGAUCACCGGAACGUCCCAACCACGGAUUUCGUCACCACUUCCGUCCUCCCGGAAGAAAGAUCCAGUAAUGGCGACACCGGAAGUGAAGGUGAAACCUACUUUGUGUACAGUAAGAUGAGCGUGGAGGCCAGCAGUUGGCGCGGCGGAACCGUUUUCGCCUGCAUGGUGGUGCACGAGGCGCUGCCCAUGCGCUUCAGCCAGCGCACGCUGCAGAAACAGGCUGGUAAAUAAAGGAUGGGGUGUGAAACCCUCGUGCAAUGCACAA
Molecule: non-coding RNA, 502 nt
Organism: Meleagris gallopavo (turkey)
Lineage: Eukaryota; Metazoa; Chordata; Aves; Galliformes; Phasianidae
Source: the annotation of a RefSeq genome assembly